This 471-nucleotide ribosomal RNA is filed under the name uncultured bacterium. RNAcentral's name for it is "SSU rRNA". It matches the Rfam family "Bacterial small subunit ribosomal RNA", at positions 26 to 518 of the family's 1533-position model. The record is from RNAcentral.
AGAAUGAACGUUGGCGGCGUGGAUUAGGCAUGCAAGUCGCACGGGCCGCAAGGCCAGUGGCGCAAGGGUGAGUAAGGCGACGGUAACCAACCCCAGGAUUGGGCAUAGCCGCGGGAAACCGCGGGUAAUUCCCAGCGACGUCCGGGAGGGGCAUCCCCCCCGGACCAAAGUCCUGGCGUCCUGGGACGGGCCGUCGUGGUAUUAGGUUGUUGGCGGGGUAACGGCCCACCAAGCCGGCGAUGCCUACCGGGCGUGCGAGCGUGGCCCGGCACACUGAGACUGAGACACUGCCCAGACUCCUACGGGAGGCUGCAGUCGAGAAUCUUCGGCAAUGGGCGCAAGCCUGACCGAGCGACGCCGCGUGGAGGACGAAGGCCUUCGGGUUGUAAACUCCUGUCGAGGGGGAAGAAGGCCGCAAGGCCUUGACUGAUCCCUGGAGGAAGCACGGGCUAAGUUCGUGCCAGCAGCCGC